This 72-nucleotide transfer RNA is filed under the name Camelus bactrianus (Bactrian camel). It matches the Rfam family "tRNA". From Rfam's summary of the family: Transfer RNA (tRNA) molecules are approximately 80 nucleotides in length. Their secondary structure includes four short double-helical elements and three loops (D, anti-codon, and T loops). Further hydrogen bonds mediate the characteristic L-shaped molecular structure. tRNAs have two regions of fundamental functional importance: the anti-codon, which is responsible for specific mRNA codon recognition, and the 3' end, to which the tRNAs corresponding amino acid is attached (by aminoacyl-tRNA synthetases). tRNAs cope with the degeneracy of the genetic code in two manners: having more than one tRNA (with a specific anti-codon) for a particular amino acid; and 'wobble' base-pairing, i.e. permitting non-standard base-pairing at the 3rd anti-codon position. RNAcentral also lists the same sequence under 2 other names. The record is from Rfam by way of RNAcentral. Lineage: Eukaryota; Metazoa; Chordata; Mammalia; Artiodactyla; Camelidae.
GAGGGGAUAGCUCAGUGGUAGACCAUGUGCUUAGCAUGCACGAGGCUCUGGGUUCAACACCCAGUACCCCCA